GUGGCUGUGGCUCAGUGGUAGAGCACUUACCUUGCAUGUAUGAGGCACUGGGUUUGAUCCUCAGCACCACA
RNAcentral lists this transfer RNA (71 nucleotides) under Ictidomys tridecemlineatus (thirteen-lined ground squirrel). Its description in RNAcentral is "Spermophilus tridecemlineatus (thirteen-lined ground squirrel) tRNA". It matches the Rfam family "tRNA". From Rfam's summary of the family: Transfer RNA (tRNA) molecules are approximately 80 nucleotides in length. Lineage: Eukaryota; Metazoa; Chordata; Mammalia; Rodentia; Sciuridae. The record is from Rfam by way of RNAcentral.